GCUUGCUGGAAGAGAAGUUGAGUGUAAGACUCUAGGAGGAUUCUGGGAUCCUUAACCCCAGGUGCCCUUCUCUUGAAAGCCCCAAGGCUUCCCCUUCCCGCUCACCUACUUAGACUGCCCUCCUCCCUCCUCGUGCCCCCACAUUACACUCCCUGCCUCUUUCCAUGAUGAAGCAGAUAAUUCCCUUUUACCCUGAAUGCCUUCUCUUCUCACCCUCCUCCCCUACUCCAGUGCCAACCGAACCAUCACUCGUGUACGAAGCAGUGUGCAACAGGCAGAACCGGCCUUCAUUGGCUGAGCUGCCCCAAGCCGGGCCUGAGACUCCCGGCUUAGAAGGACUGAAGGAGCUAAUGCAGCUCUGCUGGAGCAGUGAGCCCAAGGACAGACCCUCCUUCCAGGAAUGCCUACCAAAAACUGAUGAAGUCUUCCAGAUGGUGGAGAACAAUAUGAAUGCUGCUGUCUCCACGGUGAGAUUUCCUGUCUCAGCUCAGGAGCAGCAAUAGGAGAUUUUCUAUCCCAGAGUCAGGCCAAGGAGGGACAGAAAUGGAUGGCUUUAGGAGAACCAUAGAAAACCAGCACUCUCGUAAUGAUGUCAUGGUUUCUGAGUGGCUAAACAAACUGAAUCUAGAGGAGCCUCCCAGCUCUGUUCCUAAAAAAUGCCCGAGCCUUACCAAGAGGAGCAGGGCACAAGAGGAGCAGGUUCCACAAGCCUGGACAGCAGGCACAUCUUCAGAUUCGAUGGCCCAACCUCCCCAGACUCCAGAGACCUCAACUUUCAGAAACCAGAUGCCCAGCCCUACCUCAACUGGAACACCAAGUCCUGGACCCCGAGGGAAUCAGGGGGCUGAGAGACAAGGCAUGAACUGGUCCUGCAGGACCCCGGAGCCAAAUCCAGUAACAGGGCGACCGCUCGUUAACAUAUACAACUGCUCUGGGGUGCAAGUUGGAGACAACAACUACUUGACUAUGCAACAGACAACUGCCUUGCCCACAUGGGGCUUGGCACCUUCGGGCAAGGGGAGGGGCUUGCAGCACCCCCCACCAGUAGGUUCGCAAGAAGGCCCUAAAGAUCCUGAAGCCUGGAGCAGGCCACAGGGUUGGUAUAAUCAUAGCGGGAAAUAAAGCACCUUCCAAGCUUGCCUCCAAGAGUUACGAGUUAAGGAAGAGUGCCACCCCUUGAGGCCCCUGACUUCCUUCUAGGGCAGUCUGGCCUGCCCACAAACUGACUUUGUGACCUGUCCCCCAGGAGUCAAUAAACAUGAUGGAAUGCUAG
RNAcentral lists this long non-coding RNA (1273 nucleotides) under Homo sapiens (human). Its description in RNAcentral is "long non-coding RNA NONHSAT169120.1". The record is from RNAcentral. Lineage: Eukaryota; Metazoa; Chordata; Mammalia; Primates; Hominidae.